CAGCCGCCGCGGUAACACGUAGGUGGCAAGCGUUGUCCGGAAUUAUUGGGCGUAAAGGGCUCGCAGGCGGUUUCUUAAGUCUGAUGUGAAAGCCCCCGGCUCAACCGGGGAGGGUCAUUGGAAACUGGGAGACUUGAGUGCAGAAGAGGAGAGUGGAAUUCCACGUGUAGCGGUGAAAUGCGUAGAGAUGUGGAGGAACACCAGUGGCGAAGGCGACUCUCUGGUCUGUAACUGGCGCUGAGGAGCGAAAGCGUGGGGAGCGAACAGGAUUAGAUACCCCGGUAGUCCCUGUCUCUUAUAC
RNAcentral lists this ribosomal RNA (301 nucleotides) under uncultured bacterium. Its description in RNAcentral is "partial 16S ribosomal RNA". It matches the Rfam family "Bacterial small subunit ribosomal RNA", at positions 509 to 807 of the family's 1533-position model. The record is from RNAcentral.